AACGAACGCUGGCGGCGCGCCUAAUACAUGCAAGUCGAGCGAGAAGACGUAGCAAUACGUUUGUAAAGCGGCGAACGGGUGAGGAAUACAUGGGUAACCUACCCUCGAGUGGGGAAUAACUAGCCGAAAGGUUAGCUAAUACCGCGUACGCUCCUUGGACUUCGGUUCAGGGAGGAAAGCGAUACCGUGGGUAUCGCGCUCUUGGAUGGGCUCAUGUCCUAUCAGCUUGUUGGUGAGGUAACGGCUCACCAAGGCUUCGACGGGUAGCUGGUCUGAGAGGACGAUCAGCCACACUGGCACUGCGACACGGGCCAGACUCCGUACGGGAGGCAGCAGGUAAGGAAUAUUGCGCAAUGGGCGAAAGCC
This 366-nucleotide ribosomal RNA is filed under the name uncultured bacterium. RNAcentral's name for it is "bacterial SSU rRNA". It matches the Rfam family "Bacterial small subunit ribosomal RNA", at positions 29 to 383 of the family's 1533-position model. The record is from RNAcentral.